UUCCACUCAAUCAGCUUUAAAAAGGAUUU
RNAcentral lists this non-coding RNA (29 nucleotides) under Rattus norvegicus (Norway rat). Lineage: Eukaryota; Metazoa; Chordata; Mammalia; Rodentia; Muridae. The record is from RNAcentral.